Long non-coding RNA from Rosa rugosa (rugosa rose), 752 nucleotides. RefSeq lists it as uncharacterized. The transcript is spliced from 6 exons. NCBI's taxonomy places the organism in Eukaryota, Viridiplantae, Streptophyta, Magnoliopsida, Rosales, Rosaceae. The record is from RefSeq and is a predicted model, not a curated record.
GCCAGCACACAGGUUGCUCGAUAUCCAGAGCGGUCAAUCAAGAACGAUUGAGAGAGAGAGAGAUACCGUGCGUUUCUUCGCUUUGCACGAAGAGAUAGACGGAUCGAAGGGAAAUUAUGGUCAGUUGAUGUAAUCACGAAUAAUUUGAGGAUCUUAGAGUCAAGGGAAGAAUUUGCGGAUCUUAGAGCCAAAGGGUUGGGGUUUUGAGAAUUUUUGUUUGAAAUGAUUGUUGGCAUUAGCCAGAAAGAGAGGAAUACCUUGGGUGGAAGGGUUGCCAACAUAAGUGCAGGAAGAAUUGCUGGAUAACAGUCUCCGGGAAGAUCUGACAUGGAGGCCAUCUACUUUGAUGAAGGUGUAAGGAACUCAAGACGACACCAAUUGAAAACAAGAGCAUUGUUGGGUUAUGGAAUGGGAGGUGGAAGAUGGUCAAAAUCAGAUUGGAGGUACAAGAGAUAUAUUUCUCAAUUUGUAUCAUAUCUUUUGUAAUAGCAAGAAACUGCCAUGCUUUAUUAAUUGAAUUGUAUAAGAUUAAAAUAUCCUAUCCUUGGGUUAAUAAUAUUUUCUUGAUCUUCUAAACUUCAUCAUUUCAAACAAUUCCAAUUGUUCUAAAGAGUGAGUAAAUCAAAUUGUUAUUUAUCUACAUGAGCACAUUACUCACCGCACCUCACAAUGUAGUUUAACCUAGCUGGAGUACAUGACUACAAAUAGAUCGAUUGAUAAUAAAAACCCGCGGCAACGCGCGGACGCUUUUU